CCCCAUCCCAAGGGCUUUGUGGGGGAGUUCACCACAGCAUAUUUUCAAAUUAAAAGGCAAACAAAUUAAGGUACAGAGGUUCAGGACAUACUUACAAGAAAAAAUGGGUGGUGGGGGUGGGGAGUGGGGAGGGAUUACAUUACAAAUUCUUACUUUUAGAAAACGGAAAAAGGAGAUGCAUUUGCAAUAACUACUCCACAGCUGAGGCAAACAUGCGUCUGCAAAGGAAAGAGUUAUUUUCCCUAGACAGAGCAGACUCGAUAAGCAAUGUGUUUCUCUACUUUAAAAUAGCUAUUUCCCAUAUCAGCUUCGUCCUUACUAAAAUGUUCUACCCCAUCUCACAAAAAGACUAUCUUAAGUAAAAAUAUCUUAUGUUUGAGGUCAAUAAUAGAAAAU
Molecule: long non-coding RNA, 396 nt
Filed under: Setaria viridis
Lineage: Eukaryota; Viridiplantae; Streptophyta; Magnoliopsida; Poales; Poaceae
Description: long non-coding RNA (SVIR_LNC001508)
Source: RNAcentral